GCGUUAAAGGGGGUGAAAAGCCCCCUCGCCGAAAGCGCAAGGUUUCCUACGCAACGUUCAUCGGCGUAGGGUGAGUCGGCCCCUAAGGCGAGGCAGAGAUGCGUAGCUGAUGGGAAACAGGUCAAUAUUCCUGUACCGAUUGCAAGUGCGAUGUGGGGACGGAGAAGGUUAGCUCAGCCGGGUGUUGGAUGUCCCGGUUCAAGCGUGUAGUCGUGCUCUUUAGGCAAAUCCGGAGAGCUUAGAUGAGGCGUU
Molecule: ribosomal RNA, 252 nt
Filed under: Enterobacter hormaechei
Lineage: Bacteria; Pseudomonadati; Pseudomonadota; Gammaproteobacteria; Enterobacterales; Enterobacteriaceae
Description: partial 23S ribosomal RNA
Rfam family: Bacterial large subunit ribosomal RNA
Source: RNAcentral